This 253-nucleotide ribosomal RNA is filed under the name uncultured bacterium. RNAcentral's name for it is "partial 16S ribosomal RNA". It matches the Rfam family "Bacterial small subunit ribosomal RNA", at positions 524 to 776 of the family's 1533-position model. The record is from RNAcentral.
UACGUAGGGUGCAAGCGUUGUCCGGCAUUAUUGGGCGUAAAGAGCUCGUAGGCGGUCUGUCGCGUCGGCUGUGAAAACCUGGGGCUCAACUCCGGGCCUGCAGCCGAUACGGGCAGACUAGAAUUCGGUAGGGGAGACUGGAAUUCCUGGUGUAGCGGUGAAAUGCGCAGAUAUCAGGAGGAACACCGGUGGCGAAGGCGGGUCUCUGGGCCGAUAUUGACGCUGAGGAGCGAAAGCGUGGGGAGCGAACAGG